This 434-nucleotide long non-coding RNA is filed under the name Monodelphis domestica (gray short-tailed opossum). Its description in RNAcentral is "lncRNA (ENSMODG00000041996.1)". Lineage: Eukaryota; Metazoa; Chordata; Mammalia; Didelphimorphia; Didelphidae. The record is from RNAcentral.
GAGGAAUAGCAAGAUGGACAAUAUUACUAUGGACCAUAAAGUUGUGAAGAUUGGAUUUGGCUAUCUCCUGAUUGUAACAAUGAAGGAUACAACGACAAAAAAAAAAGAAACAAUCUUUGUCCUCAAGAUGCUUAUACUCUAUGACAAUAUCAAUUGGAUGAUCAACAGUAUCAAAGGUUGCAAGAGAGGCUGAUAAGAAUGCAGGCUGAAAAAAACCACAAUGGAUAAGGUUCAACAUGAAACUUAAAUGACAUGAGGCAGCCUCAGUUGCUGGAAGCUGAGCUAGAUUUAAUCUGCUGGGAAGGUCUCUUGGCUGAGGCCUCUGAACUCCCCCUGGCUCAGACCAGGCUGGAGUGGAUCUUCAUUCCUUUCUCUCUCUCUCCCUCUUUCAUUAUUUUUUCCUUCUAUUGUAAAUAAACUGCCACAAAAUUCCA